This is a non-coding RNA of Hordeum vulgare subsp. vulgare (domesticated barley), 85 nucleotides long. The record is from Rfam. Lineage: Eukaryota; Viridiplantae; Streptophyta; Magnoliopsida; Poales; Poaceae.
AAUAACCAAAUAUAACACUGGGACUAAGGGUCAAAUUGGUAAUUUUUCUUACAUCUCCCCCCCCAGGGGCCCAGGUAUCAUAUAC